This 195-nucleotide unclassified non-coding RNA is filed under the name plant metagenome. Its description in RNAcentral is "partial contains small subunit ribosomal RNA, internal transcribed spacer 1, and 5.8S ribosomal RNA". The record is from RNAcentral.
UCUCCGUUGGUGAACCAGCGGAGGGAUCAUUACCGAGUUUACAACUCCCAAACCCCUGUGAACAUACCAUUUGUUGCCUCGGCGGUGCCUGCUUCGGCAGCCCGCCAGAGGACCCAAACCCUUGGUUUUAUACAGUAUCUUCUGAGUAAAUGAUUAAAUAAAUCAAAACUUUCAACAACGGAUCUCUUGGUUCUG